Molecule: ribosomal RNA, 707 nt
Filed under: Entrophospora etunicata
Lineage: Eukaryota; Fungi; Glomeromycota; Glomeromycetes; Entrophosporales; Entrophosporaceae
Description: SSU rRNA
Rfam family: Eukaryotic small subunit ribosomal RNA
Source: RNAcentral
ACAUACGAUUCCGGAGAGGGAGCCUGAGAAACGGCUACCACAUCCAAGGAAGGCAGCAGGCGCGCAAAUUACCCAAUCCCGACACGGGGAGGUAGUGACAAUAAAUAACAAUACGGGGCUCUUUCGGGUCUCGUAAUUGGAAUGAGUACAAUUUAAAUCCCUUAACGAGGAACAAUUGGAGGGCAAGUCUGGUGCCAGCAGCCGCGGUAAUUCCAGCUCCAAUAGCGUAUAUUAAAGUUGUUGCAGUUAAAAAGCUCGUAGUUGAAUUUCGGGAUUGACACAUCGGUCGUGCCUUAAGGGGUAUGAACUGGUGUAGUCAAUUUCUCACCUUCUGGAGAACCGCGAUGCCCUUAAUUGGGUGUCACGGGGAACCAGGACCUUUACUUUGAAAAAAUUAGAGUGUUUAAAGCAGGCAUUUUGCUUGAAUACAUUAGCAUGGAAUAAUAAAAUAGGACGGCAUGAUUCUAUUUUGUUGGUUUCUAGGAUCACCGUAAUGAUUAAUAGGGAUAGUUGGGGGCAUUAGUAUUCAAUUGUCAGAGGUGAAAUUCUUGGAUUUAUUGAAGACUAACUACUGCGAAAGCAUUUGCCAAGGAUGUUUUCAUUAAUCAAGAACGAAAGUUAGGGGAUCGAAGACGAUCAGAUACCGUCGUAGUCUUAACCAUAAACUAUGCCGACUAGGAAUCAGACGAUGUUAAUUUUUUAAUGAC